GGUAUUGUUUACCUCACGAUAAGCCCCGGAAACUUAUUGUAAUUGCGUAGCAAGGAACGGCUACGCCUGUAAACAACUA
Molecule: non-coding RNA, 79 nt
Organism: Leuconostoc sp. DORA_2
Lineage: Bacteria; Bacillati; Bacillota; Bacilli; Lactobacillales; Lactobacillaceae
Source: Rfam